AUUGAACGCUGGCGGCAUGCCUUACACAUGCAAGUCGAACGGCAGCGGACCUUCGGGUGCCGGCGAGUGGCGAACGGUGAGUAAUGCAUCGGAACGUGCCAUUGAGUGGGGAUAACGUAGCGAAAGUUACGCUAAUACCGCAUAUUCUGUGAGCAGGAAAGCAGGGGACCGCAAGGCCUUGCGCUCUUUGAGCGGCCGAUGUCAGAUUAGCUAGUUGGUGAGGUAAAGGCUUACCAAGGCGACGAUCUGUAGCGGGUCUGAGAGGAUGAUCCGCCACACUGGAACUGAGACACGGUCCAGACUCCUACGGGAGGCAGCAGUGGGGAAUUUUGGACAAUGGGCGCAAGCCUGAUCCAGCCAUGCCGCGUGAGUGAAGAAGGCCUUCGGUGUAAG
This 393-nucleotide ribosomal RNA is filed under the name uncultured bacterium. Its description in RNAcentral is "bacterial SSU rRNA". It matches the Rfam family "Bacterial small subunit ribosomal RNA", at positions 30 to 429 of the family's 1533-position model. The record is from RNAcentral.